ACUCCUACGGGAGGCAGCAGUAGGGAAUCUUCCACAAUGGGUGCAAACCUGAUGGAGCAAUGCCGCGUGAGUGAAGAAGGUCUUCGGAUCGUAAAGCUCUGUUGUUAGAGAAGAACACGUGCUAGGUAACUACUAGCGCCUUGACGGUAUCUAACCAGAAAGUCACGGCUAACUACGUGCCAGCAGCCGCGGUACUACGUAGGUGACAAGCGUUGUCCGGAUUUAUUGGGCGUAAAGGGAGCGCAGGCGGUCUGUUUAGUCUAAUGUGAAAGCCCACGGCUUAACCGUGGAACGGCAUUGGAAACUGACAGACUUGAAUGUAGAAGAGGAAAAUGGAAUUCCAAGUGUAGCGGUGGAAUGCGUAGAUAUUUGGAGGAACACCAGUGGCGAAGGCGAUUUUCUGGUCUAACAUUGACGCUGAGGCUCGAAAGCGUGGGGAGCGAACAGGAUUAGAAACCCUAGUAGUCCCAUG
Molecule: ribosomal RNA, 472 nt
Filed under: uncultured organism
Description: partial 16S ribosomal RNA
Rfam family: Bacterial small subunit ribosomal RNA
Source: RNAcentral